GAUGAACGCUGGCGGCGUGCCUAAUACAUGCAAGUCGAGCGAACAGACGAGGAGCUUGCUCCUCUGACGUUAGCGGCGGACGGGUGAGUAACACGUGGAUAACCUACCUAUAAGACUGGGAUAACUUCGGGAAACCGGAGCUAAUACCGGAUAAUAUAUUGAACCGCAUGGUUCAAUAGUGAAAGACGGUUUUGCUGUCACUUAUAGAUGGAUCCGCGCCGCAUUAGCUAGUUGGUAAGGUAACGGCUUACCAAGGCAACGAUGCGUAGCCGACCUGAGAGGGUGAUCGGCCACACUGGAACUGAGACACGGUCCAGACUCCUACGGGAGGCAGCAGUAGGGAAUCUUCCGCAAUGGGCGAAAGCCUGACGGAGCAACGCCGCGUGAGUGAUGAAGGUCUUCGGAUCGUAAAGCUCUGUUAUUAGGAAAGAACAAAUGUGUAAGUAACUAUGCACGUCUUGACGGUACCUAAUCAGAAAGCCCCGGCUAACUACGUG
This 497-nucleotide ribosomal RNA is filed under the name uncultured bacterium. RNAcentral describes it as "partial 16S ribosomal RNA". It matches the Rfam family "Bacterial small subunit ribosomal RNA", at positions 28 to 507 of the family's 1533-position model. The record is from RNAcentral.